GACGAACGCUGGCGGCGUGCUUAACACAUGCAAGUCGUACGGUAAGGCCCUUUCGGGGGUGCUCGAGUGGCGAACGGGUGCGUAACACGUGAGUAACCUGCCCACAACUUUGGGAUAACGCUAGGAAACUGGUGCUAAUACUGGAUAUGUGCUCCUGCUGCAUGGUGGGGGUUGGAAAGCUCCGGCGGUUGUGGAUGGACUCGCGGCCUAUCUGCUUGUUGGUGGGGUAGUGGCCUACCAAGGCGGCGACGGGUAGCCGGCCUGAGAGGGUGACCGGCCACAUUGGGACUGAGAUACGGCCCAGACUCCUACGGGAGGCAGAAGUGGGGAAGAUUGAACAAUGGGCGCAGGCCUGAUGCAGCAACGCCGCGUGCGGGAUGACGGCCUUCGGGUUGUAAACCGAAUUCAGCAGGGACGAAGCUUUUUGUGACGGUACCUGCAGAAGAAGCACCGGCUAACUACGUG
Molecule: ribosomal RNA, 465 nt
Filed under: uncultured bacterium
Lineage: Bacteria
Description: partial 16S ribosomal RNA
Rfam family: Bacterial small subunit ribosomal RNA
Source: RNAcentral